GCCGGAAUGGCGGAAUGGUAGACGCGACGGAUUCAAAAUCCGUUGGCCGCAAGGUCGUCCGGGUUCAAGUCCCGGUUCCGGUACCA
Molecule: transfer RNA, 86 nt
Filed under: bacterium
Lineage: Bacteria
Also listed under: 2 other names
Description: tRNA-Leu
Rfam family: tRNA
About the family: Transfer RNA (tRNA) molecules are approximately 80 nucleotides in length. Their secondary structure includes four short double-helical elements and three loops (D, anti-codon, and T loops). Further hydrogen bonds mediate the characteristic L-shaped molecular structure. tRNAs have two regions of fundamental functional importance: the anti-codon, which is responsible for specific mRNA codon recognition, and the 3' end, to which the tRNAs corresponding amino acid is attached (by aminoacyl-tRNA synthetases). tRNAs cope with the degeneracy of the genetic code in two manners: having more than one tRNA (with a specific anti-codon) for a particular amino acid; and 'wobble' base-pairing, i.e. permitting non-standard base-pairing at the 3rd anti-codon position.
Source: RNAcentral